This 301-nucleotide ribosomal RNA is filed under the name uncultured bacterium. RNAcentral's name for it is "partial 16S ribosomal RNA". It matches the Rfam family "Bacterial small subunit ribosomal RNA", at positions 509 to 807 of the family's 1533-position model. The record is from RNAcentral.
CAGCCGCCGCGGGAAAACGGAGGGUGCGAGCGUUAAUCGGAAUUACUGGGCGUAAAGCGGGCGCAGACGGUUACUUAAGCAGGAUGUGAAAUCCCCGGGCUCAACCUGGGAACUGCGUUCUGAACUGGGUAACUAGAGUGUGUCAGAGGGAGGUAGAAUUCCACGUGUAGCAGUGAAAUGCGUAGAGAUGUGGAGGAAUACCGAUGGCGAAGGCAGCCUCCUGGGAUAACACUGACGUUCAUGCCCGAAAGCGUGGGUAGCAAACAGGAUUAGAUACCCCUGUAGUCCCUGUCUCUUAUAC